This 460-nucleotide ribosomal RNA is filed under the name uncultured bacterium. Its description in RNAcentral is "partial 16S ribosomal RNA". It matches the Rfam family "Bacterial small subunit ribosomal RNA", at positions 338 to 795 of the family's 1533-position model. The record is from RNAcentral.
CCUACGGGGGGCAGCAGUGAGGAAUAUUGGUCAAUGGCCGAGAGGCUGAACCAGCCAAGUCGCGUGAGGGAAGACGGCCCUACGGGUUGUAAACCUCUUUUAUGCGGGGAUAAAGGUGUCCACGUGUGGCUGUUUGCAGGCACCCCAUGAAUAAGGACCGGCUAAUUCCGUGCCAGCAGCCGCGGUAAUACGGAAGGUCCGGGCGUUAUCCGGAUUUAUUGGGUUUAAAGGGGGCGGAGGCCGGUGUUUAAGCGUGCCGUGAAAUUUUGUGGCUCAACCAUGGGAGUGCGGCGCGAACUGGAGACCUUGAGUGCGCGGAAGGCAGGCGGAAUUCGUGGUGUAGCGGUGAAAUGCUUAGAUAUCACGAAGAACCCCGAUUGCGAAGGCAGCCUGCCGCAGCGUUACUGACGCUGAAGCUCGAAAGCGCGGGUAUCGAACAGGAUUAGAUACCCUUGUAGUC